UACGGAGGGAGCUAGCGUUGUUCGGAAUUACUGGGCGUAAAGCGCACGUAGGCGGCGAUUCAAGUCAGAGGUGAAAGCCCGGGGCUCAACCCCGGAACUGCCUUUGAAACUAGAUUGCUAGAAUCCUGGAGAGGUGAGUGGAAUUCCGAGUGUAGAGGUGAAAUUCGUAGAUAUUCGGAAGAACACCAGUGGCGAAGGCGACUCACUGGACAGGUAUUGACGCUGAUGGACGAAAGCUAGGGGAGCGAAAGGG
This 253-nucleotide ribosomal RNA is filed under the name uncultured bacterium. RNAcentral describes it as "partial 16S ribosomal RNA". It matches the Rfam family "Bacterial small subunit ribosomal RNA", at positions 524 to 776 of the family's 1533-position model. The record is from RNAcentral.